GAGUCUGUAGCGAAGUGUCGCAAACACGGGACAGAUGGAUUCUCUGCAUCACGACGCAUUUAAUUGUGAGUGCCACGAAGAAGUGAUUCGACAAUGAUGAAAUAAAAAAGAAGGAGGCCCGGGGUGGCAUUAGGCGUCAAUGAAACAAUUCUAAGAUCAACAUAAUUGACGAUUUGUGAGGACAUUUGAAACAUUGGGCACCGAAGGAAUAACCAUAAGAUCAACGUAGCUGCAGAUCAACACAGUUACCUUCGCUGUUUGUGCAUCGACUGAUGAGUGAAAAUUUAUUUUAUUAAG
Molecule: long non-coding RNA, 297 nt
Organism: Nylanderia fulva
Lineage: Eukaryota; Metazoa; Arthropoda; Insecta; Hymenoptera; Formicidae
Source: RefSeq, a predicted model, not a curated record